GCGACGAUAGUAUAAUGGUAGUAUACGAGACUGUGGCUCUUGUGGUCCGGGUUCGAUUCCCGGUCGUCGCC
Molecule: transfer RNA, 71 nt
Filed under: Candidatus Woesearchaeota archaeon
Lineage: Archaea; Nanobdellati; Candidatus Woesearchaeota
Description: tRNA-His
Rfam family: tRNA
About the family: Transfer RNA (tRNA) molecules are approximately 80 nucleotides in length. Their secondary structure includes four short double-helical elements and three loops (D, anti-codon, and T loops).
Source: RNAcentral